GAGCGGUUUGGUCGUUCGUUGGGCGGUGCUGGUUUUUCGCUCGUCGACUGCGGCUCUUCCUCGGGCAGCGGAAGCGGCGCGGCGGUCGGAGAAGUGGCCUAAAACUUCGGCGUUGGGUAGGCGUUCGUAGGUUUACCCGCGGCUUCAGGUUCUGCCAACCGUUGGCGCCGCGCGCCGCGGCCGUUGGGAGCCGAGCGGCGGGGGCUGCUCGGGCCGCUGGCGUCGGGUCGGGUAUGGGGCCGGGAGGUUUCCCCUUGGGGCUUUGUUCCGGAACUGUGUCCCCGCCUUUUCCCGGCGGUGAUUCAGAGGUCCCGACGCCGGGUUCCGGGCAGUCGGGCCUCCGCCCGUCGAGGAAGGGAAGUGACUCCUCCCCGCGCUCCCCCUCCCGGGGGAGGCUGCCGCUCCUCGCAGCCUGAGUCAUUAGGGGAGGGGGAGGAGGUUGGCGGCCCUCGGCCAUCUGCUGCCGCGAGGUGGGGCGCGGGGAGGCGGGAGGCCCGGCGGUGGGGCCAGGAUCUGUUCCUCCCCCCGCAGCCCUGGGGGGCGGCCCGGGUGAGCGCGGCGGCCUUAUCUUCGGGGCGUCUUUCUUAGGUGAAAGAAAAUGGCCCGAACCAAGCAGACUGCUCGUAAGUCCACCGGUGGGAAAGCCCCCCGCAAACAGCUGGCCACGAAAGCCGCCAGGAAAAGCGCUCCCUCUACCGGCGGGGUGAAGAAGCCUCAUCGCUACAGGUAGGUCGGGCGGGGGAACAAUGGCCCGGCGGUGGCCGGCUUUGUGCGGCAGCGUCCGCUCACUCCUCCCCUGCUCGCUGCAGGCCCGGGACCGUGGCGCUUCGAGAGAUUCGUCGUUAUCAGAAGUCGACCGAGCUGCUCAUCCGGAAGCUGCCCUUCCAGAGGUUGGUGAGGGAGAUCGCGCAGGAUUUCAAAACCGACCUGAGGUUUCAGAGCGCAGCCAUCGGUGCGCUGCAGGUAAGACAAAGGCCUGGAGCCGGGGGAGGGCUGGGCGGUUUCCGCUCCCCGAGUGGGAUUAAUAGUGCGGCUCUCGUCCUCAACAGGAGGCUAGCGAAGCGUACCUGGUGGGUCUGUUCGAAGAUACCAACCUGUGUGCCAUCCACGCUAAGAGAGUCACCAUCAUGCCCAAAGACAUCCAGUUGGCUCGCCGGAUACGGGGAGAGAGAGCUUAAGUGAAGGCAGUUUUUAUGGCGUUUUGUAGUAAAUUCUGUAAAAUACUUUGGUUUAAUUUGUGACUUUUUUUGUAAGAAAUUGUUUAUAAUAUGUUGCAUUUGUACUUAAGUCAUUCCAUCUUUCACUCAGGAUGAAUGCGAAAAGUGACUGUUCACAGACCUCAGUGAUGUGAGCACUGUUGCUCAGGAGUGACAAGUUGCUAAUAUGCAGAAGGGAUGGGUGAUACUUCUUGCUUCUCAUGAUGCAUGUUUCUGUAUGUUAAUGACUUGUUGGGUAGCUAUUAAGGUACUAGAGUUGAUAAAUGUGUACAGGGUCCUUUUGCAAUAAAACUGGUUAUGACUUGAUCCAAGUGUUUAACAAUUGGGGCUGUUAAGUCUGACCAUACAUCACUGUGAUAGAAUGUGGGCUUUUUCAAGGGUGAAGAUACAAGUCUUAACCACAGUGUAACUUACAGUUUCCUUUAAAAAAAAAAAAAGUAAACCUGGCAGCUAUAGAAUACACUAUGUGCAUUUAUAAUAGCUA
Molecule: long non-coding RNA, 1701 nt
Filed under: Homo sapiens (human)
Lineage: Eukaryota; Metazoa; Chordata; Mammalia; Primates; Hominidae
Description: non-protein coding lnc-GALK1-2:7
Source: RNAcentral